Molecule: small nucleolar RNA, 108 nt
Filed under: Ipomoea nil (Japanese morning glory)
Lineage: Eukaryota; Viridiplantae; Streptophyta; Magnoliopsida; Solanales; Convolvulaceae
Description: Plant small nucleolar RNA R71
Source: Rfam by way of RNAcentral
UAGCCAUGGUGGGGGCAUUGAAUGAGCAAUAUUUUGAACCUUUCCCAUGCCUCAUGGAACGGUUUGCCUUCAGCUUGCGAGAAAUUCGCAAUUUUUCUCCAUAAUUCA